AACGACUCUCGGCAACGGAUAUCUCGGCUCUCGCAUCGAUGAAGAACGUAGCGAAAUGCGAUACUUGGUGUGAAUUGCAGAAUCCCGUGAACCAUCGAGUUUUUGAACGCAAGUUGCGCCCGAAGCCUUCGGCUAAGGGCACGUCUGCCUGGGCG
RNAcentral lists this ribosomal RNA (155 nucleotides) under Silene aprica. RNAcentral describes it as "5.8S ribosomal RNA". It matches the Rfam family "5.8S ribosomal RNA". From Rfam's summary of the family: 5.8S ribosomal RNA (5.8S rRNA) is a component of the large subunit of the eukaryotic ribosome. It is transcribed by RNA polymerase I as part of the 45S precursor that also contains 18S and 28S rRNA. Lineage: Eukaryota; Viridiplantae; Streptophyta; Magnoliopsida; Caryophyllales; Caryophyllaceae. The record is from RNAcentral.